AUUGAACGCUGGCGGCAGGCCUAACACAUGCAAGUCGGACGGUAGCACAGAGAGCUUGCUCUCGGGUGACGAGUGGCGGACGGGUGAGUAAUGUCUGGGGAUCUGCCCGAUGGAAGGGGAUAACCACUGGAAACGGUGGCUAAUACCGCAUAACGUCGCAAGACCAAAGAGGGGGACCUUCGGGCCUCUCACUAUCGGAUGAACCCAGAUGGGAUUAGCUAGUAGGCGGGGUAACGGCCCACCUAGGCGACGAUCCCUAGCUGGUCUGGGAGGAGGACCAGCCACACUGGAACUGAGACACGGUCCAGACUCCUACGGGAGGCAGCAGUGGGGAAUAUUGCACAAUGGGCGCAAGCCUGAUGCAGCCAUGCCGCGUGUAUGAAGAAGGCCUUCGGGUUGUAAAGUACUUUCAGCGGGGAGGAAGGCGAUAUGGUUAAUAACCGCAUUGAUUGACGUUACCCGCAGAAGAAGCACCGGCUAACUCCGUGCCAGCCGCCGCCGUAA
RNAcentral lists this ribosomal RNA (504 nucleotides) under uncultured bacterium. RNAcentral describes it as "partial 16S ribosomal RNA". It matches the Rfam family "Bacterial small subunit ribosomal RNA", at positions 29 to 523 of the family's 1533-position model. The record is from RNAcentral.